This 581-nucleotide small RNA is filed under the name Pan troglodytes (chimpanzee). RNAcentral describes it as "retained intron". Lineage: Eukaryota; Metazoa; Chordata; Mammalia; Primates; Hominidae. The record is from RNAcentral.
UUAUGACCUGCUUCUGUGUUUAUGAUCUUAAGUGAUAAAGUCUUAGACAGUUGAAAGACAAUUGCUGAAUGACCUUACCUGUUGAUAUUAAUUUAUAUGACUUGAUUUCUUUCCCUAAGAUUGAAAAGGCUGUGGUGUCUCAGCGCCUGACAGAAUCUCCGUGUGCUUUGGUGGCCAGCCAGUACGGAUGGUCUGGCAACAUGGAGAGAAUCAUGAAAGCACAAGCGUACCAAACGGGCAAGGACAUCUCUACAAAUUACUAUGCGAGUCAGAAGAAAACAUUUGAAAUUAAUCCCAGACACCCGCUGAUCAGAGACAUGCUUCGACGAAUUAAGGAAGAUGAAGAUGAUAAAACAGUUUUGGAUCUUGCUGUGGUUUUGUUUGAAACAGCAACGCUUCGGUCAGGGUAUCUUUUACCAGACACUAAAGCAUAUGGAGAUAGAAUAGAAAGAAUGCUUCGCCUCAGUUUGAACAUUGACCCUGAUGCAAAGGUGGAAGAAGAGCCCGAAGAAGAACCUGAAGAGACAGCAGAAGACACAACAGAAGACACAGAGCAAGACGAAGAUGAAGAAAUGGAUGUG